CAGCAGCAAUUCAUGUUUUGGAGUAUUGCCAAGGUUCAAAACAUGAAGCGCUGCAACA
This 58-nucleotide microRNA precursor is filed under the name Mus musculus (house mouse). RNAcentral describes it as "Mmu-Mir-15-P1c-v1_pre stem-loop". RNAcentral also lists the same sequence under 1 other name. The record is from RNAcentral. Lineage: Eukaryota; Metazoa; Chordata; Mammalia; Rodentia; Muridae.